RNAcentral lists this transfer RNA (63 nucleotides) under Aporia hastata. Its description in RNAcentral is "tRNA-Ala". Lineage: Eukaryota; Metazoa; Arthropoda; Insecta; Lepidoptera; Pieridae. The record is from RNAcentral.
AGGAAAAUAGUUUAAAAAAACAUUUGAAUUGCAAUCAAAAAAUAUUAAUAAUUAAUUUUUCUU